This is a non-coding RNA of Paramuricea clavata, 266 nucleotides long. The record is from the annotation of a GenBank genome assembly. NCBI's taxonomy places the organism in Eukaryota, Metazoa, Cnidaria, Anthozoa, Malacalcyonacea, Plexauridae.
UGCAUAUCCACACCGGGCGAGCUUGAAAAAUAUGCCCGGCCACGGUGGGAUUCGAACCUACGACCUUUGGAACACUAGCCCAAUGCUCUUCCAACUGAGCUACGCGGUCAGGACGGUUCGAGUAAGUGAUAUUUCGGAACAGUAUCUAGUUCCUUCAAUACCAAUGUGUUCUUGUAAUAUGAAUUUUUUUCUGUGUUGGUGUUGUGUACUCAGGUGAAUAAUAUGUUUGCGAUGUUACUCUGAGUGCAUAUCCACACCGGGCGAGC